AUACGGAGGGUGCAAGCGUUGUUCGGAAUUACUGGGCGUAAAGGGCGCGCAGGCGGUUUGGUAAGUCAGAUGUGAAAGUCCAGGGCUUAACCCUGGAAGUGCAUAUGAAACUGUCAGACUUGAGUAUCAGAGGGGAAAGUGGAAUUCCCGGUGUAGAGGUGAAAUUCGUAGAUAUCGGGAGGAAUACCGGUGGCGAAGGCGACUUUCUGGCUGAAUACUGACGCUGAGGCGCGAAAGCGUGGGGAGCGAACAGGAUUAGAAACCCCAGUAGUCC
This 274-nucleotide ribosomal RNA is filed under the name uncultured bacterium. RNAcentral's name for it is "partial 16S ribosomal RNA". It matches the Rfam family "Bacterial small subunit ribosomal RNA", at positions 523 to 796 of the family's 1533-position model. The record is from RNAcentral.